Molecule: ribosomal RNA, 359 nt
Filed under: Francisella-like endosymbiont of Dermacentor reticulatus
Lineage: Bacteria; Pseudomonadati; Pseudomonadota; Gammaproteobacteria; Thiotrichales; Francisellaceae
Description: bacterial SSU rRNA
Rfam family: Bacterial small subunit ribosomal RNA
Source: RNAcentral
AUAAGUAUUCCGCCUGGGGACUACGGCCGCAAGGCUAAAACUCAAAGGAAUUGACGGGGACCCGCACAAGCGGUGGAGCAUGUGGUUUAAUUCGAUGCAACGCGAAGAACCUUACCUGGUCUUGACAUCCUGCGAACUUUCUAGAGAUAGGUUGGUGCCUUCGGGAACGCAGUGACAGGUGCUGCACGGCUGUCGUCAGCUCGUGUUGUGAAAUGUUGGGUUAAGUCCCGCAACGAGCGCAACCCCUAUUGAUAGUUACCAUCAWUAAGUUGGGUACUCUAUUGAGACUGCCGCUGACAAGGCGGAGGAAGGUGGGGACGACRUCAAGUCAUCAUGGCCCUUACGACCAGGGCUACACA